GAUGAACGCUGGCGGCGUGCCUAAUACAUGCAAGUCGAGCGAACAGACGAGGAGCUUGCUCCUCUGACGUUAGCGGCGGACGGGUGAGUAACACGUGGAUAACCUACCUAUAAGACUGGGAUAACUUCGGGAAACCGGAGCUAAUACCGGAUAAUAUAUUGAACCGCAUGGUUCAAUAGUGAAAGACGGUUUUGCUGUCACUUAUAGAUGGAUCCGCGCCGCAUUAGCUAGUUGGUAAGGUAACGGCUUACCAAGGCGACGAUGCGUAGCCGACCUGAGAGGGUGAUCGGCCACACUGGAACUGAGACACGGUCCAGACUCCUACGGGAGGCAGCAGUAGGGAAGCUUCCGCAAUGGGCGAAAGCCUGACGGAGCAACGCCGCGUGAGUGAUGAAGGUCUUCGGAUCGUAAAACUCUGUUAUUAGGGAAGAACAAAUGUGUAAGUAACUAUGCACGUCUUGACGGUACCUAAUCAGAAAGCCACGGCUAACUACGU
This 496-nucleotide ribosomal RNA is filed under the name uncultured bacterium. RNAcentral describes it as "partial 16S ribosomal RNA". It matches the Rfam family "Bacterial small subunit ribosomal RNA", at positions 28 to 506 of the family's 1533-position model. The record is from RNAcentral.